GAGCAAUAAUAACACAUCUAAUUUCUUUACAUGAAAAGGAAAGGCAACACAGAUUAAGUGUUGGUUAAUGUGUACUAAGACUUGUACUAAAGUGUACGAGAAGCAAGCAGGAAAUUCCUAUUCAGUUUAUUUUGAAAAUCAAUCGCGUCAUUCGCUUCCGAAGUGGAAAACAACUUUAAUAUGCACAGCACCUUUGACGUUAUUCACCAUCGUUGUUGACACACAGAACUUCUUUCUACUAGAAACUCGAGAUGGUGUUGAAAACUCUUCUAAACCGUUUGGCGUAGCUAUUCAUAAAACAACAAAGCCUUUACAUUAUCUUUUCCCAGUUUCUUAUGGCAACGGUAUUGUUUUCUAUUGUAGCGCUUCAUCGUUGAAACUGAAUCACGCGUGAUUGCAAAGAUUUCUAAAGGGACCCUAUUUAGCGCGUGAAUGAAAACUAUAACACCAGGUAUUAACAUCAAUAGCAAGUGCUUCAUCACAAAACGAAACUCUAGAAAAACAAAAUUCCAACUAGUUGGAAUGACUCGACGGCAUCCGGAAUGAAUCACAGGUAGCUUUGGAACAACAUGUUGGCGGAUAGUUUUGACUAGUGGACACACGCAAUUGCGCUACUGAUGCUCAUUAUUCAUAGCCAUUUCGUGCCAUUGGAUAACUACACCAUCGUCAAUAAUGACGAAAUCGAAACAAAAAAAAGGCGGUGAAAAAUGAUCAUUCCGCAACGUUUAUGAAUGACGAAGAAAAAGAAGAAAUAUAAAUACUUCUGUAUACGCGAUACAUGGGUUUGCAACGAUGCUGGAAGCCUCACAGUUCUUCACGCGCUUCAUUCGCUCGCAUAACAAUGGUUAGUGGGAUGGGGAAGAUAAUUAUGCGUUUCUUCGAUAUUUGAAAAUGCAUACGACACGAGCGAUUAGAGGUAGUGUAGGAAUAGUGGUUGUUAUGUCAGAAUGAACAGGUGGACCCUCUGGCCUGAAAAGACGAAUCAGGAUGAUAGAAAACCUUAUAAAACGAGGUCAAAUCGAAGGUAGAGGUUAGUCGAGUGAACAUCUCUGACACAGUAUAGUACUAGCAGUCUUUCAAAUACCAAUAGCUGAUUUAAUAUAGUGUCUUCCAGUUCCAACCUGCAAUCAUGGGUAAUGUACACACUUCAACUUGUUUAAUGAUUUUAGUUAAUGUGAUGAUGCAAUUGUUGA
Daphnia carinata is the source of this 1193-nucleotide long non-coding RNA. RefSeq lists it as uncharacterized. NCBI's taxonomy places the organism in Eukaryota, Metazoa, Arthropoda, Branchiopoda, Diplostraca, Daphniidae. The record is from RefSeq and is a predicted model, not a curated record. The transcript is spliced from 4 exons.